Molecule: small nucleolar RNA, 138 nt
Organism: Tachyglossus aculeatus (Australian echidna)
Lineage: Eukaryota; Metazoa; Chordata; Mammalia; Monotremata; Tachyglossidae
Source: RefSeq, a predicted model, not a curated record
GCCCUCUCAGGAUUGCACCUGGAGUGUUUCCAGUACUCUACUAGUCUUGGAUAUGGAAGGGAGAGUCAAGCAGGGGCAUACCCAUUCCAUUCCUAGCUUGGGUAGUGGCUAGCAAGUGGAAGACAAUCUGCUACAAGU